RNAcentral lists this unclassified non-coding RNA (214 nucleotides) under Hevea brasiliensis (rubber tree). Lineage: Eukaryota; Viridiplantae; Streptophyta; Magnoliopsida; Malpighiales; Euphorbiaceae. The record is from RNAcentral.
GAAAUCGUUGAGUUUGAUUUUGCAGAAGCAUGGAGAACUGGACGGAUGGACGCCGGAGAAGGACGGUUUGGCGGCGACCGGAAACUUAAGGGCUAAGUUUCCGACGAGAACCCGAAGAAAGGGGCAGGGAUCCAUGAUGAAGUCGAAUUAGGCGGCGCCGGCGAAAUACGCCGGGAAAAGAGGAGAAGGGAGAGAGAACAGGGAGAAUUAUCCG